AUCCCUGCCUCCAUCCCCUGCAUCCCACCGACCCUCUCCUGGGAUCCCUGCAUCCAUCCCUGCUUCCAUCCCCUGCAUCCAUCCCUGCAUCCAUCCCUGCAUCCAUCCCUGCAUCCAUCCAUCCCUGCAUCCAUCCCUGCAUCCAUCCCUGCAUCCAUCCCUGCAUCCAUCCAUCCCUGCAUCCAUCCCUGCAUCCAUCCCUGCAUCCAUCCCUGCCUCCAUCCCCUGCAUCCCACCGACCCUCUCCUGGGAUCCCUGCAUCCAUCCCUGCAUCCCACCGACCCUCUCCUGGGAUCCCUGCAUCCAUCCCUGCAUCCCACCGACCCUCUCCCGGGAUCCCUGCAUCCAUCCCUGCCUCCAUCCCCUGCCUCCAUCCCCUGCAUCCCACCGACCCUCUCCUGGGAUCCCUGCAUCCGUCCCCUGCCUCCAUCCCCUGCAUCCAUCCCCUGCAUCCCACCGACCCUCUCCUGGGAUCCCUGCAUCCAUCCUUGCAUCCCACCGACCCUCUCCUGGGAUCCCUGCAUCCAUCCCCUGCAUCCAUCCCUGCAUCUCACCGACCCUCUCCUGGGAUCCCUGCAUCCAUCCGUCCAUCCAUCCAUCCCUGCCUCCAUCCCUGCCUCCAUCCCCUGCAUCCAUCCCCUGCAUCCCACCGACCCUCUCCCGGGAUCCCUGCAUCCAUCCCUCCAUCCAUCCAUCCCACCGAUCCUCUCCCGUGAUCCCUGCAUCCAUCCCUGCAUCCCACCGACCCUCUCCCUGCAUCCGUAUGCAUGCAAGAUUCUGCUACCUCAAACACAUCCAGCCCCAUCAUCCUGAAAACAGGGCAAGAGUUGUUUCAGGAUCAUUACACACUAGAUUGGAUCCAUUGUUUCAGGAUCAUUACCUACUGGAUUGUUCUGAAUUUGCAUUAUCACAGUGAGAAACUUUGCAAAAGUUUGCUAAAAGUGUUAUAGUGCAUGAAAGUUGCUAUAAUAUUUAACAGAAAAGACAUGUGUUUUUGAAUUGCUUUCACAAUAAAGGGAAAAUAAAAAG
Molecule: long non-coding RNA, 1029 nt
Filed under: Cyanistes caeruleus (blue tit)
Lineage: Eukaryota; Metazoa; Chordata; Aves; Passeriformes; Paridae
Description: lncRNA (ENSCCEG00000021100.1)
Source: RNAcentral